This 77-nucleotide transfer RNA is filed under the name Chloroflexaceae bacterium. RNAcentral's name for it is "tRNA-Ile". It matches the Rfam family "tRNA". Rfam says of the family: Transfer RNA (tRNA) molecules are approximately 80 nucleotides in length. Their secondary structure includes four short double-helical elements and three loops (D, anti-codon, and T loops). Further hydrogen bonds mediate the characteristic L-shaped molecular structure. tRNAs have two regions of fundamental functional importance: the anti-codon, which is responsible for specific mRNA codon recognition, and the 3' end, to which the tRNAs corresponding amino acid is attached (by aminoacyl-tRNA synthetases). tRNAs cope with the degeneracy of the genetic code in two manners: having more than one tRNA (with a specific anti-codon) for a particular amino acid; and 'wobble' base-pairing, i.e. permitting non-standard base-pairing at the 3rd anti-codon position. Lineage: Bacteria; Bacillati; Chloroflexota; Chloroflexia; Chloroflexales; Chloroflexaceae. The record is from RNAcentral. RNAcentral also lists the same sequence under 1 other name.
GGGCGCAUAGCUCAGUUGGUUAGAGCGCAAUCCUGAUAAGAUUGAGGUCCCUGGUUCGAGUCCAGGUGCGCCCACCA